CAGCAGUGUAUGGUCUAGAUUUCGUAAAGAAGGCCGUCUAAUAUUUUACUUAGGUUCAUUCAAAUAUCUUUAUUUGACAUGCAUGUAUUUCUUGUGUGUGCACACUCUCUUAGUUCUAUAUCUCUUUGAUAUGAAUUACUAGCAGACAAAAUUUUCAUGCUUUGAGGUAUUAUCGAUAUUCACUAUUUAAGACGUCAGUUGCCAGCUUAUAUUCUUUUAAAAUUUUAGUGCUGAGCUUGGCUUCUGUUUUAGGAUACAGUUAUGGUACCAUAUGCUCAUUGGUUUCCAUCUGAUUCCUCUUUUUGACAUGGACAUAUACCAUGUGGUAUAAUAUUUAAGAAGAAUGGCUUGGAAAAUUCAAAUAGAUGGUUACUCUUACCCGUAGUUUCUUUGGGAUGCUGAUAGCAUCUAGAGAUGCCUUCUAAUCAAUAAAAGUAAGAUCUGAUCAUGCGCUAUAUGUUGAUUCUCUUACAUAUGUAUUACGAGAAAAUUAAGGCACACAUGUUGAUAUUGGACUGAUGACCUUUCUUCUUCUCAUAUUUUUUAUUAUCUUACCGAUCAACCUCAGAUGGUGCCGGCAAUUGUGCAAAGCAGUUUGCACAUUAGAGGUUUGGUAUGGGAUUCUGAAGAAAACAUUAGCCCUUAUGAUGCCCCAACUUUGUGGCUAUUGCAGCUAUUGUGGCAAGGCACACAUCAUCGUCGUUUCAUAUUGAUAUCCUGAUAUUUUCUUCAGUUUGCUAUUGGCAAAAAUUCUAUAUCCCUGGUUGCUCUCCACAUAUUUCUCCGGUGAGUUCUUCCCCCAUUUUUCUCUUUCAUGCCUUGCUUCGUUUGUUCAACCAAGUGUGUGUGCUCAUGAUCUUCUUUCCAAGUUUAUCGAGAUUUUGGUGGCGUAGCUGGUUUACAGCCUAUAAGUUUUUGUGAUUUCAACCAAGUGUGUCUGUUAUGAUAAUUAAGGUUACUAGGAUGAAUGGUGUUUCUGUAAGCCCAGACAUAUUUUUUCUCUUCAUAAAUUUGUGAUGCACUAAUUAUCUUACCUAUUCUGUUGAUCUCGGUAAUCACCCGACGAAUAAAGCUUGCGGCCCAUGUUCGUUCUUCUGGAAAAGUCAUUGCAGAAUGUUAACGGCAUCAUAUUCCCUUUAGAGAAAUCUUUUACUGGAUUUUAAUUUCCUACAUACAUGCUUAUCAUUUGGCAUAAUGUUAUUUUGUGACACUUAAUUUUUCCUUGUCUUCCACAUUUUAAUUCAAGCAGCAGUGAUAGAAUUUGCAAUCUGGUGUGGCCUUGCGCUCCUACUAUUCUGCUGAAGAAUGAUCAGCAAAUGCAGUGGAUUUGGAGCUGAGCUAUUACUGAAUAUUCACGUCAUCUGUAUUAAUCAGAGGUUACUAAGAUUAGAUGUUGAUUGAUCUGUUCUCUACCCAUGAGGCAGUGGAGAAGAAAGACAACUCUAGUUAAGAAUGAGAGGCUAGAUAAACAAACAGGAAAAUGCUCAGUUUGUUCAGGCCUUAGGGAUGCAUUCCAUCAUCACUGUCCAUCAACAAGUUCAACUCCGACAAUGGUUCACCGAUAAUGUGGGCCGGUGCACCACGUCAACAACGUCGACGGCCUGACAGGCCAUUUUCCAACUUGGCCUAUUGUAAAUGACGAGACCAUGAGGAUGUAAUCAGUAAUGUUGCUCCUGAAAAUGAAGAUGUACUUUGCCGUUCCACUAAUCUCGGCAAAAGAGUAGAUUAUGGUGCUCCUUGUGCUAUAGUGGAAUUGAAUCACAAAAAAUUCUAUAAAUUCAUCAAACAAUGAAGGAGGUUAGUUUUUACCUGAGCGGCAACGGCGGCCACCAUGGUCUUGCUGGAGCCUCGCUUGCAGUCGAAAGUCAUCAGCUUCAGGGAGUGUCGGCACAGCCAGAAUAGACGCCACCUUCAGCGGGGAGCAACAGCAGCAACUGCGAGGAUUUGGCUCGCCGAUACGAGCAACGGCGGCGCCAUACCCCCUUCCGCAGCUCCGAGCUGCUGGUCCGCCGAGAUGCAGAUGGAGCCGACGAGCCGUUGCGCCUCCAAGCUACCGGGCCACCGAGAUGCAGAUGUAGUCGCAGCGCCUCUGAGCUGCAGCGAGAGCUGCUCCGCCGCCAAGCUGCAGCGUGAGCGGCCGUGAAAAUGGAGCCGAGCUUUCUCUCCAGUACGAGUACAGUGGGAGAGGGAACGAAUCCAAUGAACUGGUCGAUGGAACCAAGACCAACAGUCAACCACGUGGUGAUCUCUAUGCUAUAUGCGCCACGCGUGUGUAUAGGUGUCCAGAAUGCGUGGUUCUCUGUCACAGUGGCACAAUUGUAAUUUUAUUUUGGUGCUAAUUUGUAGCACUUGUAUGAUCUGUACUGUUUUGUCUGAUAUAUUCCAACAACUAUUCUUAGAA
Aegilops tauschii subsp. strangulata is the source of this 2401-nucleotide non-coding RNA. NCBI's taxonomy places the organism in Eukaryota, Viridiplantae, Streptophyta, Magnoliopsida, Poales, Poaceae. The record is from RefSeq and is a predicted model, not a curated record.